Oryctolagus cuniculus (rabbit) is the source of this 738-nucleotide non-coding RNA. NCBI's taxonomy places the organism in Eukaryota, Metazoa, Chordata, Mammalia, Lagomorpha, Leporidae. The record is from RefSeq and is a predicted model, not a curated record.
GACACAGCAUGUUCUAUUGUUGAUAACUCUGGUUUCUAUGGUGAGCAUAUACUUGAAGCUAGAACCUUGGGAAAGUAGGAAAAAAGGUAUUGGAUAUGGCUUCCGUAGCAUUUCAUGGAAGGGGAUAGGAAAAGUAUGGGUAGGACAGACAGAUGGAAAAAAGGCUCAGAUAAAUGUUUAGCUUUUCAAUAACUUCCUUUCCUCCCCAAAUAGGCUACAUCUUAUUUUAGAUCUAUUCCAUCUGAUCCUGUUAAAACUGCAUAUAUUUCCCUCCACCAACUGGUUCCCUCCUCACCACCUUAAAAUCCAUGAUGUCUCUUAAUGUGUCCACAGAGCAUGAAAACAAGCAAAAAUGAUGUCAGCAAAAAGUGGGUAGAAUUCAAGCACUGUGUGCUGGAUUGUAGGACACGUGAAGAUGAAAUUGAGAGAUGAGACAAGGAUGCUGAGAACACGUCAUGGGAUUGUGCGCCUAGAAACCCAAGUUCACAACCACUGGCCCUCAAGCCUAAGAACCCGGAGAAAGAUACUAACAGCAGAGAGGCUCGCAUGGACUCAGGCUACCAUGUCAGGAGCAGCCUUAUGGAGAGACCCUUGUGGGGAAGAUCUGAGGCCCUUCUACCUCCUACCAACAGCCACGUGAGGGUUCUCCUACCCCAGCACACCGUUAGAUGACUCCAUCCCCAGCUCACAGCAUGAGAUGCCCUGAGCCAGACCCAUCCAGCUAAGCUGGCUCCUCAA